This 253-nucleotide ribosomal RNA is filed under the name uncultured bacterium. RNAcentral's name for it is "partial 16S ribosomal RNA". It matches the Rfam family "Bacterial small subunit ribosomal RNA", at positions 524 to 776 of the family's 1533-position model. The record is from RNAcentral.
UACGGGGGGAGCAAGCGUUGUUCGGAAUUACUGGGCGUAAAGGGCUCGUAGGCGGCCAACUAAGUCAGACGUGAAAUCCCUCGGCUUAACCGGGGAACUGCGUCUGAUACUGGUUGGCUUGAAUCCGGGAGAGGGAUGUGGAAUUCCAGGUGUAGCGGUGAAAUGCGUAGAGAUCGGGAGGAACACCGAUGGCGAAGGCGGGUCUCUGGGCCGAUACUGACGCUGAGGAGCGAAAGCGUGGGGAGCGAACAGG